CCUCCUACGGGGCGCAGCAGUGGGGAAUAUUGGGCAAUGGAGGAAACUCUGACCCAGCAAUGCCGCGUGAAUGAAGAAGGUCUUCGGAUUGUAAAGUUCUUUAGUCAGGGAAGAAGUCAAUGACGGUACCUGAAGAAUAAGCUCCGGCUAACUACGUGCCAGCAGCCGCGGUAAUACGUAGGGAGCAAGCGUUGUUCGGAAUGACUGGGCGUAAAGGGAGCGCAGGCGGGAAGCCAAGUCAGCUGUGAAAACUACGGGCUUAACUUGUAGACUGCAGUUGAAACUGGUUUUCUUGAGUGAAGUAG
This 305-nucleotide ribosomal RNA is filed under the name uncultured bacterium. RNAcentral describes it as "bacterial SSU rRNA". It matches the Rfam family "Bacterial small subunit ribosomal RNA", at positions 335 to 654 of the family's 1533-position model. The record is from RNAcentral.